RNAcentral lists this ribosomal RNA (425 nucleotides) under uncultured bacterium. RNAcentral's name for it is "bacterial SSU rRNA". It matches the Rfam family "Bacterial small subunit ribosomal RNA", at positions 356 to 773 of the family's 1533-position model. The record is from RNAcentral.
AGGGAAUCUUCCGCAAUGGACGAAAGUCUGACGGAGCAACGCCGCGUGAGCGAUGAAGGCCUUCGGGUCGUAAAGCUCUGUUGUCAGGGAAGAACAAGUAUCGGAGUAACUGCCGGUACCUUGACGGUACCUGACCGGAAAGCCACGGCUAACUACGUGCCAGCAGCCGCGGUAAUACGUAGGUGGCAAGCGUUGUCCGGAAUUAUUGGGCGUAAAGCGCGCGCAGGCGGUCCUUUAAGUCUGAUGUGAAAGCCCACGGCUCAACCGUGGAGGGUCAUUGGAAACUGGGGGACUUGAGUGCAGAAGAGGAAAGCGGAAUUCCACGUGUAGCGGUGAAAUGCGUAGAGAUUAGGAAGAACACCAGUGGCGAAGGCGACUCUCUGGACCGUAACUGACGCUGAGGCAUGAAAGCGUGGGGAGCAAAC